CCCUCCUAGCCGGCUCAGGACUCCCCCGUAGUCUUCGCGACCCCUCCCCCAUUUCAGACUCCCCAGACUCCGCCUCCAUGUCCGGGGACUCCGGGGUUCUCCCAGAGACACGGGCGCCCCCUCUCCACCGUAGGGAUGGAGCCUCAGAGGUGCAGAAAAGAAACCUUGUCUGCAUCAGUUUACACACCAGGAAGCCGAGGCUCAGGCAGAAGAAGAAACUUGCUCCAGGUCACAAGCCAGGCAGAUGCGGAGCUGAUGCUUCACAGGAGCCCCAGGGCUUCCACCUGACACUGGACUGCAUGGAGGAAGGUCUGAGAGGGAUCACCAAGACUCACUGGAGGAGGAGGCAGGGAUUUCUCCUGGGGCAGUACUGGGAUUGGAGCUGCAUGGUGGCUCAGCCAGACCAUCAGGCCUCAGGGAGCCUGAGGUGGGCCAGAUACCAGGAUUGCCCAAGUAAGGGAGAGGAAGGGAGAGUUAGGACACCAGUAGCAGAUGCCUAAGUUCCAACCUUGGCUUCUGGCUCUAAAU
Molecule: long non-coding RNA, 528 nt
Organism: Pongo pygmaeus (Bornean orangutan)
Lineage: Eukaryota; Metazoa; Chordata; Mammalia; Primates; Hominidae
Exons: 3
Source: RefSeq, a predicted model, not a curated record